UAGGGAAUCUUCCGCAAUGGACGCAAGUCUGACGGAGCAACGCCGCGUGAGUGAAGAAGGAUUUCGGUUCGUAAAACUCUGUUGUUAGAGAAGAACAGCGCAUAGAGUAACUGAUAUGCGUGUGACGGUAUCUAACCAGAAAGCCACGGCUAACUACGUGCCAGCAGCCGCGGUAAUACGUAGGUGGCAAGCGUUGUCCGGAUUUAUUGGGCGUAAAGCGAGCGCAGGCGGUCAAUUAAGUCUGAUGUGAAAGCCCCCGGCUCAACCGGGGAGGGUCAUUUGAAACUGGUUAACUUUAGUGCAGAAUGGGAGAGUGAAAUUCCAUGUGUAUCGGUGAAAUGCGUAGAUAUAUGGAGGAACACCGGUGGCGAAAGCGGCUCUCUGGUCUGUAACUGACGCUGAGGCUUGAAAGCGUGGGGAGCGAACAGG
Molecule: ribosomal RNA, 429 nt
Filed under: Bacteroidota bacterium
Lineage: Bacteria; Pseudomonadati; Bacteroidota
Description: Bacteroidetes bacterium partial 16S ribosomal RNA
Rfam family: Bacterial small subunit ribosomal RNA
Source: RNAcentral